Molecule: ribosomal RNA, 251 nt
Filed under: uncultured bacterium
Lineage: Bacteria
Description: partial 16S ribosomal RNA
Rfam family: Bacterial small subunit ribosomal RNA
Source: RNAcentral
ACAGAGGGUGCGAGCGUUAAUCGGAUUUACUGGGCGUAAAGCGUGCGUAGGCGGCUUUUUAAGUCGGAUGUGAAAUCCCCGAGCUUAACUUGGGAAUUGCAUUCGAUACUGGGAAGCUAGAGUAUGGGAGAGGAUGGUAGAAUUCCAGGUGUAGCGGUGAAAUGCGUAGAGAUCUGGAGGAAUACCGAUGGCGAAGGCAGCCAUCUGGCCUAAUACUGACGCUGAGGUACGAAAGCAUGGGGAGCAAACAG